UACAGAGGUCUCAAGCGUUGUUCGGAUUCAUUGGGCGUAAAGGGUGCGUAGGCGGCGCGGUAAGUCGGGUGUGAAAGCCCCGAGCUUAACUUGGGAAUGGCAUUGGAAACUGGCGGGCUGGAGUGUGGCAGAGGGGGGUGGAAUUCCACGUGUAGCAGUGAAAUGCGUAGAGAUGUGGAGGAACACCGAUGGCGAAGGCAGCCCCCUGGGCCAACACUGACGCUCAGGCACGAAAGCGUGGGGAGCAAACAGG
RNAcentral lists this ribosomal RNA (253 nucleotides) under uncultured bacterium. Its description in RNAcentral is "partial 16S ribosomal RNA". It matches the Rfam family "Bacterial small subunit ribosomal RNA", at positions 524 to 776 of the family's 1533-position model. The record is from RNAcentral.